RNAcentral lists this ribosomal RNA (416 nucleotides) under uncultured bacterium. RNAcentral's name for it is "bacterial SSU rRNA". It matches the Rfam family "Bacterial small subunit ribosomal RNA", at positions 49 to 513 of the family's 1533-position model. The record is from RNAcentral.
UUACCAUGCAGUCGAACGCACUCUUCGGAGUGAGUGGCAGACGGGUGAGUAAUGCGUGGGAAUCUACCUAGUUCUACGGAAUAACAGUUGGAAACGACUGCUAAUACCGUAUACGCCCUACGGGGGAAAGAUUUAUCGGAAUUAGAUGAGCCCACGUAAGAUUAGCUAGUUGGUGAGGUAAUGGCUCACCAAGGCGACGAUCUUUAGCUGGUCUGAGAGGAUGAUCAGCCACACUGGGACUGAGACACGGCCCAGACUCCUACGGGAGGCAGCAGUGGGGAAUAUUGGACAAUGGGCGCAAGCCUGAUCCAGCCAUGCCGCGUGAGUGAUGAAGGCCUUAGGGUUGUAAAGCUCUUUCAGUGGGGAAGAUAAUGACGGUACCCACAGAAGAAGCCCCGGCUAACUUCGUGCCAGCA